GGACAGAGUGCAGCUAAUAAGUAGAAAGAAAAGAAACUUUAGAAAAAAAUCUACCUGUAUUGAUGGGAGUCUUCUUCCAGGCGGCAGCGCUGCCCUUGCUGACAGGUCUCUCAGCAUGCUUACCUGGCCUACUCCCAAGUGCUGCUGCAGACGAUGCAUUCUGCAACUUGGGUGACUGGCUAAAUGCAUGCAACACUCCCCGCGGGGCUCCAGAGCCUCGAGACAUCUGGCUAGAAGUCUGCUUGAGCGAGUGGUGCUGCACGAUGGGGUCUGACUUGCUCUGUACGGGAGAUGCAGUCUGUUGCAGUAUCCUCUGCUCGAUCUCCUGCUCCUGCUGCAGAGCUUUGACGAAGGCAGCCUUCAGCCUGUUAGUGUGCUCUGCUUUCAAGGCCUUCUUCUGAUUGGAUGUCAUACAGGUUUCACACAUGAUGGUUCCAUUCUUCUCCUCCCUCCAGCGGCAGGUGAAGUCAGUCUUACACUGAGCGCACAUAUAGGGCUCGCGAGAUGAAACGGGGAUGGAAACUUUACCUUGAGUUUCCAGCAAAUUCUGCACCACUUCUUCCAAUCCAACCAGGUAAAUGAAUUCGUUAUUAGCUGCGCUGGGCAGGAAGUUCAUCUCUGGAGCAGGAGGCUUCGGAGGAGGGAUCUCCAGCAGUGUCUUCUCCAGCUGCUUCCGCAGCGCCAGCUUGGCUGCAGCUUGCCGGCUGGCGGGCGACUCGUUGGAGUUGACGAUGGAAGCAGCACUGGUGGUGGUCGCAUUCGCCUGAGCCGACGUCACCGUUGUACCCUUGAUUGAAGUUGGAGAGGCCUGCGGGAUGUUGACGAUCAGGCUGGUAUUGGGGACGUUGGCCACCCGGAUCAGACCCUGCUGGAUAAUUCUCUGCCCCUGAAUUUGCACGCUGGGGACCGAUGCCCGCGGUGCCAGCAGCAGUGGAGGUGGCCCCGUGCUGGAGUGCUGUCGGAUGUUGUGGAUUUGCUGUGCUCCUCUGACAAGGGGUGGCAUGACUAUCUGUGUGUUUUGCUGGGUUCCUAAUUUUGCAGAGGUCUGCUGCCCACCACGAACCAAUGGAGGAGGAAUAACAGUGCCCGGUAUACGUGUAGAAGAGGUCUUCUGAGCAGUGGUCUCCUUCUGGAUUUGACUCUGCCGUAACUUCUUCAAUAGGACCAGCUUUGCUUCCUCUAACCGCAGCUCUUCCUUCAGCUGUUUGAUCAUCCUCUCACGCUCCUCAGGACUGCUUUUCAUGAGUGCCUCUGUGUUGGUCUCUUUUAAUGCUAUUUUUGUUAAACCAUUCAUUCUAGGGCUAGAAGGUUCAUUGUCUGACAGCACUAUGACGUCCGGGGAGGGGACUCGCUUCUCUCUCUUUAUUUCACUUUUGGAAGUACUCAUGUCCACGGGCUCGUCUCCCGUCUGAACCUCCACUUUAAUGGUUGCUUUCACCUCUCCGCUUUUUAACAGUCCUUGCACUUUUCCAGCUCCGGGGUCCGUUUUUAUUUUCAUGUCUCCUUCGGCACUUAUUUCAGUUCCUAACAGUCCUUUCUCCAUCUUUAGUUUCUUGCUGUCCACAUCGUUAUGCGGUACCUCACGUUCUAAGGCUCGUUUCUGACUUCGUGUCCUGCAUGCUUCCUCUGUCAUUGUGAGGCUCUGUCAGUGAGGUUCAUGGGUCCCGCGGGGGGUCCUGUCUGCACCCAGGGGCUGAAAGUGACCGCAGUGCAGGUCAGCCGCGCCGCGUCCCGCCGCUCCCCGCCGGCUCUCCCCCGCUCCGCUCAGCUCCGCGCCGCCCUUUCCUCUCUUCCCCCGCGUCGCCGCGGGCUCUCCCCGGUGCGGGCUGUCGGCCGCGGCUCCCCCGUGCCAAAUAAUGCGCUUCUCACACAUGGAGUCGCGGCGUCACUCGGCGGAGCAUGCGCGCGGCGGGGCCCGGAGCGCGGCGGGGCCGGGAGGAGCGGCGGCAGCGCGGCCCCGCGCCGCUUCCGGGCAAUGGUGGAGCAGAUUGACGACUGCGCUGCCCAAUGAGAAACCGUGGUGUCCAAUCCCGCCAGCCAAUCGUGGCCACAGCCCGCCUUCGGCCAGCCCCCAUGCGAAGCCGCGAGGAACGAGGUGGGGCGAUGCUUAUGAUUGACGGGUAUCCUGACCACUAGGCUUCAAGCGACACCGCGUGAGUGGGCAAUCGGUAGCCAAUGCGCGGGGAAGGGGCGGGGCCGGGCCGCGAGGCGCGGGGUGGGGCCGCCCCCGAGGCCGGCUGAGGUGAGGCGCUGCCCGCGGGGAGGGGCCGCGCCGCCGCCCUUAUCCGCCCGCGCAGCGCCGCCUGGGGCUCGCGAUAGGGCCGGCCGCCCCCAGCUCCCCGCCCUGCCCCGGCGGCGGGCCCCGGCGAGUCAUCCCGCUUCCUCCCGCGAUGUAGGUCGGGGUGCGCGGGCACUGCCGGGCCCUCCGCCACGCCUCCGGGCUGAAGCGCGCCGUGCCGCAGGUGAGGGCCGCCCGAGUCCGGCCGCCGUCUGAGCGGGGCCGGAGGGGCGGUCCGAGAGCCGCCGGGAUCGCGCAGCGCCGCACUGCGCUGCCGGAACGCCGCGCUCCGGGCCGUGUCCGCCCCCCUCCCCCCUCUGCUUUCUGCCGCUGUUUCGCCCCGGAUGGAACAUCCGCAGCUCACGCAGCGCUCGGUGUCUCCUCCGUUUUAAAACCUGGAGGCGCUGUUGGCGAUACGUCGCUCUCUUCCACCCGUUGCGCAGCCCCGUUUCGCUCCGGGCUUCACCUGAGGCGGCCGAGCGCUGCAGGUCGGUGCUGACGGUGCCGGUCCGCCCUCGCGGCGCCGCCCGUUCACCUCCCUGCCUCAGCGGGGCCGCCAAAGCAGCAGAACUCCUCGCUUACCCGGCCGGGAGCUGCGGCUGUUCCCAGAAAUCUCCAUCGGUAACUUUUCCCGAAGCCGUCGUUCGGGUUCGAGCCUUCACGCGGCGAGCGGCUCCAUGGGAUGAAACCUAUUCGGCUGCUUCUGUGGUGCGAUGCGAGGCGCUGGCGAGCAGCUCGGGGGGUGCUUUGGAAGGGGACCGUAUGGCACAGGGCCUGAAACGCGUCGUUGCUUCCAAGUCUCGCUGCGGAUGGGUCAGCUCGGUGCAUUUCUUCCUUCUAAGUGUCAGGUCGGGAUGUGAAAAUACCUGCCCGAACUGCUCCAGCUGUGGGGUAAAGAGGCAGAAAGCACUUUUCCCUUAAACCAGAUCCCAUUUAUGAAGAUCAAACGUGAUAUCCAUCCUGAGAGCGCAACUGCGGUGAAUAAAUACCUCUGGCUUAGAGCUAAUUAAGAAAUAACAACCCCAGCUGUUGGACCGACCUGCAGAAGCCUUGUUGUAACCCUGACAUCUGCCCGCCUCCAGCAGUCCCUGCGAGUUCCUGGCCACAUCAGCCUUCCCUGGUCCUGCAGCAGCGUGCAGAGGUGAGCAGUCAGGUUCCCCAUCAGGUAAUUCUGGUUCUCCUUCCAGGGCAGCAGCCCCGGUACAGCAGGAAGGCAGCCCAGGUCCUGGCAGGGCGAUGGGAAGGGCCCUUUGUGGGCAGGACUGCCUGCAGAUGGGCUGAAGGAAUCAGUAUUCCACCAACUGCUAGAAGAAAAUUAAACUUUAUUUAAAAAUUCUUCUAAUGUAGAAAACGAGAGGAGACGAAGGCAAAAACGAAUGCCCCUGGUUCCAUCUCAUUACAGGAGUUACUGUAUGUACAGCUUCAGAAAGGAGCACUGGCAGAAGGUACACAUCCUACUUAUGGAGCACUACAAACACUUAACAAUACGUUGUACAAACCUGACGUAACAUUGAAAGGUUCACUGCAGGAAACAAUUAAAUACAGUCGCUAAGACAGACAGUAGAAGAGCACAGACUGAUGUUAUUUCAUCCCGAAUCCUCCGUGUUCCAGGCAGCCCAAACCACCCUCAAUCAGCCCCCACUGCCUUGGUGAGAAGCUGCUGCAUCCCAAAGGAUUGGGAUCGCUCUGCAUGGGCUGGAGGUCAGCGGCACAGAGGGGGACACCACCAAACCCUUUCUAUCCUAGUUUGACUUUCUGGCCAACGUGAAGAACUGAAUCAAAUCAAAGCAGUGAAGCAAUGCUGUGCUGCACCUCGCGUGCCUAUAGGCGGCGUCGCAGCUGAAGGCCCAGCUCGUUGAGCAGUGUACGUUUUUGCACGUGUGGGACAACAACAGAGAGAGCUCGAGACUGGCCAGGCUGGUGGUGGGUCCGUUCUGUGCCUGGAACUGUACGGGAGGUGGUCCAUCUGUCCACUGCAAGAUAACAAACAGCAUGAAAAUCCUCCAGCCACGACCUGGGAAGGGGAGGAGCAGCAGCAAGGCCAGAAAAAGGAGCUGCCCACACACACAUUGACUACCUUGAGAUCAUUUACUGAUUUCAUGACAAGCUGAGCAUCAGGUUUGACUCUGUGUCAUGUGCAUGGAGCAGGGGGAACUGUGACUUGCACAAAUGACAGACCUCAAUUUAGAUGCUUCUGUUUGAGCCCAUUCUACAGUGCAGCUACAGUGUUUCCAGAGUGAAUGAAGCCUCUGGUUCUCACCCGUUUCAUGUUUUCCUCUCAAAUUUAUCAAAAUCUCCUGAACUAGGCAGAUUUUGUAGUUUUUAAUCCUCUUCCACCUCCACAUUUUUAAUCUAGCAUGGAUUACACAUAAGCCAGCAAUGGCAAGCAAAGUCAGCAGAGCAUACAGCACAGGGGGAUGGGCUGUGGGCAUCACCAACGUGGGCUGCACAGCACAUGUGGGUCUCAGGAUCCCUCUGCAGCCAAAGCAAUCAGCUUCUUCCUGGCAGCCUUUUUUUUCCCCUCUCAUAAAGGGAACGUUGGGAAAAGAUGUCAGGUUUCCCUGCAUCCCACAUUCACAUUUGGACGUUAUUUCAGUCUGAAAGAAUGGCUUAUCUUUCACUUUUGCUGAAUUCCAGCAUAAGAGAGCACUUUGGUAUUUUUAAGCUAUGUUAAAAGUGUUUCUGACAGUGAGAAGUCCAAAAGAGGAACCCCUUAAGGUAGCAGCUCUACAGACAUUGAAUGUCAUUAACUGGAAAUUCAGAUUUAUAGAUAAGGUGAAAACCCACAAAUGCUAGAAUUAUCUCAAUAGAAACCAUACUCAUAGCAGUACUCAAAGCAUUCCCCUGAAGAAGGGGAUCUAAACAUUAAAAUUAAACCCGAGUAUCCAUUAAUUUUCUUUCAAAAGUAGCAGCUGUCCCCAGCACAAAGUGGCUACCUGCUACAGAAGGCAUUAAAAGAAAGUUCUGGAGUGCCAAUAAAACCACUGAAGGAAACAAAGACCUCACAGGGAUAUCGAGGGAAAGCAAAGCACGCUGUCCUGCCUCAAGAGUGCCCAGAACCAGAAGAUGAAGAUUGCUUACCGUGAUUAAAUUGUGUUCUGGAAGACUGCAUGCUUCAAUGUGGUCCUGGAGGAGCUGCUGUGAGAAGUUCUGAUGCAUCUGUGCUGCCUCAUGUGCAUCCAUUGCAUUUCCACAGGCUUUGUUCAGGUCUGAAAGACAAGAGCUUCAUUUGCUCACCAAGAACCACCGUUCACACUUAUCUUCUCUGAUGUGACUCUUCCCCAUAGUAAUGAAUGAAUGACUUAAACUGCCAAUAUAUCAAGGCCAUCCCACUCAGAAGGGCAGGGGCACAUUGAGAACCUGAGCCUUUCCUCCUUCCAACAUUGCAGGAUUUGAUGUUAUUUUAGUUUCCAAUCAUUCAAAUAACACUACGCUAAUUGGACAAGCAGGAAAGCACCUCCUUACCCAGCAGAGCCCCUGUGCUGCAGGCACACACACUCUCUAUGUUCUGGCACCAUCUAGUGGGAAUGAGGGCUCACCAGUUUGUCACCAUGCUUUGGCAGCACAGACCUCACAGCAGUUCAUUUAUUUUCCCUCCUCGUUCCCCUUUGCUUUCAGGCCCUCACAGCCUGCAGCUCUGCCCAUCCCCAACGCAGCUCCUAUUGUCUUGUUUCCUGUGAGGUUUGCUGGCAUAUAUUAGCUCAGCCACAUUUCAGAAUGGUAACACAGUAAGCAUGGCAAUGUUAGCUAACAGGGAUAAGCAGUGUAGAGGUGAGGGCUGAGACACACAGCUCCUGUUGGUGAACAAGUGCUGGCAUUCCACUGCUCCUGAUGGAGCACCUCUUCAAAAGAGAAUCUAUCCGUUCCAUGGGAGAGCUCUUAGAAAAACCAAAGCAGAAUGGGAAUGGUGCCUCUGUGACAGGAGCAGCAACAGCUGAACAAGGGACAGCCUUUCAUCUACAGUAGAUUCAUUAUUAUUAUUGGCAUGUUUUGUAUGUCAACCACCACUUGGAAACGAAUGAGAGAAGUUAUUUCAAUUGCCUAGAAGCAAUUUUGUAGCAAAGGCAGUAGCAAAGCAGAACAUAAGCCUGGCCCAGUGCUUGGUUUACAGCACCAUGCUUAUAGCAAACACGACAGCUUAAUAGAAACUGAAACUGUGGGGUAAGUUCUUGGGAAAGGGGUAGAGUUACUGCUUUAUUUUCUAGUGAAAGCAAAUCAAUUGCAGCAUUAACGCUGACAGUCUGCCAAGAAGCUAGUCAAUAUUUGAACAAAGCAUCCUGGGGCCCAUGCAAGUCAGAUUAAACAAUAUUUAUGUAUGAGAGAUAUAACAGUCUCUUGUAUUUAUUAAGGCCCCCACACAGAAGCAAAGCCUAAUAAAAUGUUUACUGAAGCAAGAGCUGCAGUCAGAGCAAAGCCCUGCAACAACAGCACGGAUGCUGCAUGGCUGUGACCUGCAGCCCUUCCCAAGCAGUCACAGUAUUCUGCACGCCCAUGCACUCAGUCUGCAUGACGAGCAUCCCCACACAGACUCCCAGUGAGCAGCAGUGGUUCUUUGCCACUCAUUUUAAGCACAAGACAUUUUCCUCCCUUACCUCUCAGCAGAGCUGAAGACCACAGCUGCACAGACAUAUCCGGGAUCUUGCUUGCAAGCUGCAUGGCUGGCACUACCAUAUUAUUACUUUCCUGGUGAAAAGCAGACAUCAACAUCAAAGACGUACUUUUUCCCCUUCCAAAUAUGUAAUGUAUCGAAGAGAUGCUUUUGCCUAAUUUAAUUGCUAGCUAGCAAGCUGAAAUGCUUAAUGGGACAAUAACGCAAACAGAUCAUCUAAAGCUGCCUGGAAUUUUGCCUUGUCCCAGGCAUUAUGGUGUCUGUGUUGUGCAAGACAAUAGAAAUAUUUCACACAUUCUGGCAUACGAUGAGAAUUCAGAAGAGCUCACACCCACAAUUCCUUCCAAGCAAUCCCACUGCAUGACGUUACUUGUCCUUUAUUCUAUUGUUUUUUUUUUCCCCCCCCGAGUGAUUUCAGGCAUUACAGAAACACCUAUCUCUACAAUAGCAGCCAAACACUACUGCUUUGUAAAGAGUGUUGCUCAGUGUGCAAGAAUGGUGUAUAUCCACGAGCUGCCGGCUCUCAGUGGGGCACCUACAUACAAACACUCCUGAACACAACCUGAGAAGCGCCCCAAUUUGCUCUGGCAAAUCAAUAAGCACACAGUAGCAGCAGACACACGAAGGCUUACCCUGUGAUUCCCUAAUACGUAGAAUAUAUGACCCAGGAGCACGAGGGAACAUGCUGUUAAUCGAUUCAAAUCUUCUGCAUUUGACAUUUUCAGCGUCUCUCGCAAAAACCGCCUGCCAACACAGAGCACAGCACGGAGCAAUUAACCAAAAUCUGCCUUCCCUGAUGUCUUUAAGAAAUGUCAUGAAGAACCCAAUGAACCCCAUCAGCAAAUGAGCACCCGGGAAUAAACGCGUGCUGCAGGUGACCUGAAACAAAGAGCUCCAUUCCCAAACCUCACCUUUCAUUUAGCAAGAAGGACUAUAACAUAUCCCCCUUUGAAAAGCCUUUCUUUCAGGUGGGCCACUGCAGAACACCACACAAGUAUUACUCAGAGCAAAAGAGAUGUAAAACAGUCUUUGCCUCAAGCGAAACAGAAGGUUGGCUAAACCCACGGGGAACCCAGGAGGUUGGAAAGCAAAGCCUUUGAGUUUUCGUGUUGAGUUUAAAUCCCGAUUUGGUUUUUCCUUCUCCCCCCCCUUCCAGGUGCAGAGCUUUGUACUCACUUUGCCUCGUUGUAUCUUCCUUGGAAGAAGGAGAACAGACCUCGGAUAUAGAAAGCUGCUGCUCGAAGGCAGUGGGAGCUACAAACAAAGCAGAACGUUGACAUUGAGGCACUGCACAGCGACAAACACAGCACGGGCUGUGUCCCAUAACCAAACCUCUGCACAAAACAUUACAUUGAACAAACAGUCAGAGCUUCUGCCUUGAAAAGAAGAGGAUUAUUCUGUCUUCUGUGAAUAAAGCCUGAUACAAAACCAGUAUUACCAUCAUCAGUGCAACAUCAGCACAGUUUCUGGAACUCUCACCUCACAGGAAAAUUGUGGUCUGGAUUUAUCCUUUCCAAUAAGCUGUAAAGCUGCAAAGUGAGAGGGGAAAAAGGAUAAUCAGUGCUUCUGACAUAUACAGCUGAUGGUAUAGACAGCAUGAGUCUGACACAAAGUGCACAUCACAUCAAAACAUUCAAGUCACUACAAACACACUGACAUUUACUUAUAUUGGUUAAAUCAAACAACAGGUGUUCCAAUGCUAGAAAUUAUGUCCAUUCUGGUCCUAGAAAC
RNAcentral lists this long non-coding RNA (8618 nucleotides) under Gallus gallus (chicken). The record is from RNAcentral. Lineage: Eukaryota; Metazoa; Chordata; Aves; Galliformes; Phasianidae.